CGAGUGAGCGGCAAGAGCUCAGAUUUGAAAUCGUGCUUUGCGGCACGAGUUGUAGAUUGCAGGUUGGAGUCUGUGUGGAAGGCGGUGUCCAAGUCCCUUGGAACAGGGCGCCCAGGAGGGUGAGAGCCCCGUGGGAUGCCGGCGGAAGCAGUGAGGCCCUUCUGACGAGUCGAGUUGUUUGGGAAUGCAGCUCCAAGCGGGUGGUAAAUUCCAUCUAAGGCUAAAUACUGGCGAGAGACCGAUAGCGAACAAGUACUGUGAAGGAAAGAUGAAAAGCACUUUGAAAAGAGAGUGAAACAGCACGUGAAAUUGUUGAAAGGGAAGGGUAUUGCGCCCGACAUGGGGAUUGCGCACCGCUGCCUCUCGUGGGCGGCGCUCUGGGCUUUCCCUGGGCCAGCAUCGGUUCUUGCUGCAGGAGAAGGGGUUCUGGAACGUGGCUCUUCGGAGUGUUAUAGCCAGGGCCAGAUGCUGCGUGCGGGGACCGAGGACUGCGGCCGUGUAGGUCACGGAUGCUGGCAGAACGGCGCAACACCGCCCGUCUU
RNAcentral lists this ribosomal RNA (542 nucleotides) under Pichia kudriavzevii. RNAcentral describes it as "eukaryotic LSU rRNA". It matches the Rfam family "Eukaryotic large subunit ribosomal RNA", at positions 90 to 655 of the family's 3401-position model. The record is from RNAcentral. Lineage: Eukaryota; Fungi; Ascomycota; Pichiomycetes; Pichiales; Pichiaceae.